AGGAGCGGUAUGAAUCGAGAGAUUCACGUACCGUUGCGUGAGAGCCUAAAGGUGAGAUUCCUUAGGGCUACUCGAC
This is a non-coding RNA of Nitrosospira sp. 56-18, 76 nucleotides long. NCBI's taxonomy places the organism in Bacteria, Pseudomonadati, Pseudomonadota, Betaproteobacteria, Nitrosomonadales, Nitrosomonadaceae. The record is from Rfam.